GAUGAACGCUGGCGGCGUGCCUAAUACAUGCCAGUCGAGCGAACAGACGAGGAGCUUGCUCCUCUGACGUUAGCGGCGGACGGGUGAGUAACACGUGGAUAACCUACCUAUAAGACUGGGAUAACUUCGGGAAACCGGAGCUAAUACCGGAUAACAUGUUGAACCGCAUGGUUCAACAGUGAAAGACGGACUUGCUGUCACUUAUAGAUGGAUCCGCGCCGCAUUAGCUAGUUGGUAAGGUAACGGCUUACCAAGGCAACGAUGCGUAGCCGACCUGAGAGGGUGAUCGGCCACACUGGAACUGAGACACGGUCCAGACUCCUACGGGAGGCAGCAGUAGGGAAUCUUCCGCAAUGGGCGAAAGCCUGACGGAGCAACGCCGCGUGAGUGAAGAAGGUCUUCGGAUCGUAAAACUCUGUUAUUAGGGAAGAACAAAUGUGUAAGUAACUAUGCACGUCUUGACGGUACCUAAUCAGAAAGCCACGGCUAACUACGUG
This 497-nucleotide ribosomal RNA is filed under the name uncultured bacterium. Its description in RNAcentral is "partial 16S ribosomal RNA". It matches the Rfam family "Bacterial small subunit ribosomal RNA", at positions 28 to 507 of the family's 1533-position model. The record is from RNAcentral.